This 253-nucleotide ribosomal RNA is filed under the name uncultured bacterium. RNAcentral describes it as "partial 16S ribosomal RNA". It matches the Rfam family "Bacterial small subunit ribosomal RNA", at positions 524 to 776 of the family's 1533-position model. The record is from RNAcentral.
UACGAAGGGGGCUAGCGUUGCUCGGAAUCACUGGGCGUAAAGGGCGCGUAGGCGGCGUUUUAAGUCGGGGGUGAAAUCCCAGGGCUCAACCCUGGAACUGCCUUCGAUACUGGACGUCUUGAGUCCGAGAGAGGUGAGUGGAAUUCCGAGUGUAGAGGUGAAAUUCGUAGAUAUUCGGAAGAACACCAGUGGCGAAGGCGGCUCACUGGCUCGGAACUGACGCUGAGGUGCGAAAGCGUGGGGAGCAAACAGG